Molecule: long non-coding RNA, 1401 nt
Organism: Oncorhynchus tshawytscha (Chinook salmon)
Lineage: Eukaryota; Metazoa; Chordata; Actinopteri; Salmoniformes; Salmonidae
Source: Ensembl
GUGGGUGGCUAAGGGGCGGUGACGGGAGAAGGUGGGAGGAGUCCCCAGUCCUGUGUGGGUGGCUAAGGGGCGGUGACGGGAGAAGGUGGGAGGAGUCCCCAGUCCUGUGUGGGUGGCUAAGGGGCGGUGACGGGAGAAGGUGGGAGGAGUACCCAGUCCUGUGUGGGUGGCUAAGGGCGGUGACGGGAGAAGGUGGGAGGAGUCCCAAGUCCUGUGUGGGUGGCUAAGGGGCGGUGACGGGAGAAGGUGGGAGGAGUCCCCAGUCCUGUGUGGGUGGCUAGGGGGCGGUGUCGGGAGAAGGUGGGAGGAGUCCCAAGUCCUGUGUGGGUGGCUAAGGGGCGGUGACGGGAGAAGGUGGGAGGAGUCCCCAGUCCUGUGUGGGUGGCUAGGGGGCGGUGUCGGGAGAAGGUGGGAGGAGUCCCAAGUCCUGUGUGGGUGGCUAAGGGGCGGUGACGGGAGAAGGUGGGAGGAGUACCCAGUCCUGUGUGGGUGGCUAAGGGGUGGUGACGGGAGAAGGUGGGAGGAGUCCCCAGUCCUGUGUGGGUGGCUAAGGGGCGGUGACGGGAGAAGGUGGGAGGAGUCCCCAGUCCUGUGUGGGUAGCUAAGGGGCGGUGACGGGAGAAGGUGGGAGGAGUCCCCAGUCCUGUGUGGGUGGCUAAGGGGCGGUGACGGGAGAAGGUGGGAGGAGUCCCCAGUCCUGUGUGGGUGGCUAAGGGGCGGUGACGGGAGAAGGUAGGAGGAGUCCCCAGUCCUGUGUGGGUGGCUAAGAGGAGUCCCCAGUCCUGUGUGGGUGGCUAAGGGGCGGUGACGGGAGAAGGUGGGAGGAGUCCCCAGUCCUGUGUGGGUGGCUAAGGGGCGGUGACGGGAGAAGGUGAGAGGAGUCCCCAGUCCUGUGUGGGUGGCUAAGGGGCAGUGAUGGGAGAAGGUGGGAGGAGUCCCCAGUCCUGUGUGGGUGGCUAAGGGGCGUUGACGGGAGAAGGUGGGAGGAGUCCCCAGUCCUGUGUGGGUGGCUAAGAGGAGUCCCCAGUCCUGUGUGGGUGGCUAAGGGGCGGUGACGGGAGAAGGUGGGAGGAGUCCCCAGUCCUGUGUGGGUGGCUAAGGGGUGGUGUCGGGAGAAGGUGGGAGGAGUCCCAAGUCCUGUGUGGGUGGCUAAGGGGCGGUGACGGGAGAAGGUGGGAGGAGUCCCCAGUCCUGUGUGGGUGGCUAUGGGGCGGUGACGGGAGAAGGUGGGAGGAGUCCCCAGUCCUGUCACACAUCAAACCAUCACUCUUUUCAUUAAUGUCUUCUCUUCUCUUUCCUGUUCUUCUCUGUUCUGUCUCUCAGCUUGUGGCCACCAUGUUUGCUUCUUUCUGGCGCAGUCUCUCUUUCUGUCAGGGCAGGGAAAAGGGGUUAUUGUUUUUC